This 165-nucleotide ribosomal RNA is filed under the name uncultured bacterium. RNAcentral describes it as "partial 16S ribosomal RNA". It matches the Rfam family "Bacterial small subunit ribosomal RNA", at positions 1340 to 1500 of the family's 1533-position model. The record is from RNAcentral.
AAUCGUAGGUCAGCAUACUACGGUGAAUACGUUCCCGGGCCUUGUACACACCGCCCGUCACACCAUGGGAGCCGGGAAUGCCCGAAGUCGGUGACCCAACCGUAAAGGGAGGGGAGCCGCCGAAGGCAGGCCUGGUAAACUGGGGUGAAGUCGUAACAAGGUAAC